UGGCGGUUCUUCAUCCAAUCAGAGGGGUGUGUGUUUAAACGAAGUUACACGAAAAUCUUACCUAAACUAUCAAUUAACUUUUAUUCAUUAAUUAAAGUUUUAAUAAAUUUUGUACACCUCCGUCGGAAGGAUACUUUGAAAAAAUUAUCCUAUAUCUUUAACAAAGAUAUAAGUCAGGUCAAGGUGCAGAUUAUGUUUAGGUUUACAUGCAUUUCUGUAAAAGUUGAGGUGGAAAAAUCUUGAAAGAGUUUCUUAUUAAGAAUUUGAAAGUAAGAAAUUUUAUUAUAAAUUCCUGAAGGAGGAUAUAAAGAAUGUACACAUCGCCCG
This 327-nucleotide ribosomal RNA is filed under the name Austrogoniodes waterstoni. RNAcentral describes it as "partial small subunit ribosomal RNA". Lineage: Eukaryota; Metazoa; Arthropoda; Insecta; Psocodea; Philopteridae. The record is from RNAcentral.